Molecule: RNA transcript, 3305 nt
Organism: Hippopotamus amphibius kiboko
Lineage: Eukaryota; Metazoa; Chordata; Mammalia; Artiodactyla; Hippopotamidae
Gene: SNRNP48
Gene name: small nuclear ribonucleoprotein U11/U12 subunit 48
Exons: 9
Source: RefSeq, a predicted model, not a curated record
GCAGGGACGGCAGUUGGGCCGCUUCUUCUGGGAGGGCGGAAGGGAGGACGGGUGGGUGGCGUCCGCGGCAAUGGCGGGCGAGCCUCCUCCCGUGGAAGAGCGGCGGCGGUUGCGGGAGGAGCUCAGCGAGUUCGUGGAGAGCUGCUGCCGGACGCUGGAGGAGGUGAUGGCGUCGCUGGGCUGGAGCCCCGACCGGCUGGAGCCCGGGGGGGAGGCGGCGGCGGCGGCGGCGGCGGCCGAGGAUGAAGUUGCCGUAUGCCCUUAUGAUUCCAAUCAUCACAUGCCUAAAUCAUCUUUAGCAAAGCACAUGGUAUCUUGUAGAUUGAGGAAACUGGGCUAUACCAGAGAAGAAGAGGAUAAAAUGUAUAACUCUGACUUUUUCUAUGAGAAUGCGAAGAUACCUUCAAUUACCUUGAAUAAGGACUCACAAUUCCAGAUAAUUAAACAAGCUAGAGAUGCAGUUGGAAAUGGUGGUGAUUGUUACAGUCAAAGGAUGCAUUCUUCACUGCCUGUUGAAGUUCCUCUGAAUCACAAACGGUUUGUUUGUGAUCUAACCCAAGCUGAUCGUCUUGCCCUCUAUGAUUUCGUAAUCGAGGAAACAAAGAAAAAGCGCUCGGAUUCUCAAAUUAUUGAAAAUGACAGUGAUCUCUUUGUAGACUUGGCUGCCAAAGUCAAUCAAGAUAAUAGUCGAAAAAGUCCAAAAUCUUACCUUGAAAUCCUGGCAGAAGUGAGAGAUUAUAAAAGAAGACGCCAGUCCUAUAGAGCUAAGAAUGUUCACAUAACCAAGAAAUCAUAUACUGAGGUGAUUCGGGAUGUGAUCAAUGUGCACAUGGAGGAGCUCAGCAGCCACUGGCAGGAGGAGCAGGAGAAAGCAGAGGACGGUGCGGAAAAGAACGAAGAAAGGCGGUCAGCGUCAGUGGACUCACGGCAGUCUGGGGGGAGCUGUCUGGAUGCCGAAAGUUCACGCCGUAGACGGGGUCGGAGUAGGAGCCCACAUAAACGAAGGCGGAAUAAAGAUAAGGAUAAAAACUGGGACUCAAGAAGAAGGAAAGAGAGGUAAGGCCAACACUGCAUCACUCGCUGUUGGAUUGCUUACUUUUGAGAAGUGAACAGUCCUGUUACAGGCCAUGCUGAGCAAAUGGAUUGUAAGUAAAGUACGGUAAGGAGAGUAAACAAUUGAUGAAGAUUCUUAAUGUUCGUCCUGUGUCAAUUCAGAUAUCCAACAGCUCUGGUGAUGCACCUCUUUUUCUGUCUGGUUCAUACGGGUUUCCCUUUUUUAUGAUUUGUUUCCUCGCCAGGACGUAGGAAGGUAACGUCUAGGUAGAAAGUUAACCAUGUUAAAAAGGUGUUUGCCUAGAUCCUAGAUCUUUCUUCUGUCCUUUCUGUGUCCCUCCCUCCCUUUCUUGUUUCUCUUUCUCAUUCUUUCUUUCUCUUGCUAAUUCACCAGAUAAAGGAUAUUAAAAAGUCAGAAGGUCCAAGCUUUAAUGGCAGGCAGUUUUGCCCUUGUUGGUAUUCCUGAUAAAAUUUUGAAAGCUGGGGAGCUAUAAAGUCAUACUGAAAUAAUGAAUUCAGAUUGACGGAGGUCUGUCCCUGUAUUCUAGCUGCUUACUGGGCAUCUACCUGGAUCUCAGAUUCAUCAGGUCUAUACCUGAACUUGUCUUUUUCUUGGUCUGCUCCUCUCUCCCCAGCACUCCUGUCCUGGGUAAUGGACAAUUGUCAUCUCUUCACCAGAAAUUGAGGGCUUGUGUUAGAUGCUCCCUUUCACCCCUUACUAUCUGGUCCUAACUGUCAGUUUUGUGUGAAGAUACCUCACAUGUUCCUCCUCCUCUUUGUCCUUAAUGCUGUCAUCUGGAAAAUGAUGGUAGUUUUCCUAAUUGUUCUGUCUCUGAGCUUGUACCAUAUGGGUCCAUUCCUGCCCUGCUGCCAGAGUGAAUUUUCACCUCUUAAAACUCUUCAGUGGCAGAGGUCACGUGCUUUAGAACGGUUCUCGAGCCCCCCAGGAGUAGGGCACCUGCCUACCUAACUUGUAUUUUGCCUCAACCCCGUGCAUUGCGUAGCUUCUGCUCUGGCCAUUCAGAAUUCCUCACACUCCUCAUCCACCGUGUGCCUCACCUGUGCCUUUCCACCUUGUGUCCUGCUGCCUCGUUUUUUUUAAGCCCACUCAGUAAGCGUGUCCUCAUCCUCUUCAGAUCCACUUAGUCAUUUCCAUGAAGCCGUUUUUCAGUGAUUCAGACAGAGCUGAUCUUUCCCAUUCUCUCACCACUCUACCCAGCACCGAGUCUUAUGGAACUUAAGUUAUCUCCACAUUAGACAGCUCAUUGAAGGGAUGGGGAAAGACAUCAUAGUCAUAAAAGAAGAAAGCAAAAAACAUAGACCAAGUAUUUGUGCAUGUAUUAAUUACGCUUAUGCUAUGGUAACCAAUAUGUUGAUAUUUUUAUCAUAGUUGUUUUGAGUAAGAGAAUGUGCUUAUAUGAACUGUGUAGUGCUCAGAUCAUUAUUUUUCAGUAAAUAUGUUUCAAACCAUGAGCACAUGAUUACGCCCUAGAACUUUGUUUUGCUUAUAUUUUAAUAGACGAUUGCCUCCUAUUACUGAUUUUGUUUCAUUCAUUUUUGAUAAUUUAUAUAUCAGAAAAUUCUUUAAUUAAAGUAUUUAAACUGUAUAACUAAUACAUAAAUAUAUUCUUAUUGUAAGAAAUUAAACCUUACAGAUAAGGCUGAAGAACCCUUGGAGCACCAUCUGUGAUCCCUGUGGCCACCCCAGGGGUAACCACUGGUGAACUGUAGUAGGGAAAAACAACCUAAAUAUUCAUCAGAAGGGGAGAGGCCUGGCUAAAUAAAAUGUGGUAGAGUCAUAUGAUAGAUUACUAUAUUGUAUUUAAAGAAAUAAACUUUAUAUUAUCAUGAAUAGGUCUUAGAGACAUGAUGCUAAAUGAAGAUAAACAAGUUCCAGAAACAUAUGUACAAGUUAUAUCUAUGUACAAGACAAUACUGUACAUUUUCUGUGGCUGUAUAUGUAUGUAAAUAUAUUUUUAAAGGUUCAGAAGAACUCAUCCCAAACUCUCAACAGUGAUUAUUUGGGGGAGGGGAUAUAGAUGGCAGAGAGAAAGGAUGGAAACCAGGAUUGGGAGGGUGGUCAAAGGGAACUUUAGCUUUAUCCAUAAUGCAUUAAUUUUUAAAAAAUAAAAUAUUUGUGUUUGACUUGUUAAUUAAAAAUAUAUUGUCGCUUUGUUUUUUGUAAACUUUAUUGAGAUACUGUUUACAUAUAAUAAAAUACAUUCAUUUUAAGUGUAUAUGUCUUUUUUUUU